AUGGCCGCCAACGCUCUCACCACACUUUUCUUUCUCGUCUUACUUUCAACUUCAUCCAUCUUACCUGCAGCAUCAAGAACAGUUUCCGAGACAAGAAGUAAGUCUCGUGGUCCAAUACCUUGAAUAACCUAUGAUAACUUGGUUUAUCGUUUUAUGUAUGUUGUACUCUGGUCUCAUGCAGAUGGAUUUCGGGGUAAAGGUGCCAAUCUUCCAGAGGUAAAGAUAAGCCCAGGUGUCUACCGUACACCACCUUCUGCAGGCACGGGUCGUCCUCCCCAGGCAGCCUAAGAUGAUUGAUAUCCCCCAGUCGGACGAUACUACACGAUUUGGGCUGGGAUGUUACUUCUUUUUAUAGUUGUUUGUAAGCUUAUAUACGUGCAUCUCAAGUAUCAAAAUAAUCUGUUUUUAUAUGUCCUCGUUUUGCUUAUGGAAAGCUGUAAAUUCAGAUUCCUCUUGUUUGUUUUGUGGUUCAUUUGGAC
This 479-nucleotide long non-coding RNA is filed under the name Coffea arabica (coffee). RNAcentral describes it as "long non-coding RNA (CARA_LNC002479)". Lineage: Eukaryota; Viridiplantae; Streptophyta; Magnoliopsida; Gentianales; Rubiaceae. The record is from RNAcentral.